Molecule: ribosomal RNA, 1535 nt
Filed under: Salmonella enterica subsp. enterica serovar Odozi
Lineage: Bacteria; Pseudomonadati; Pseudomonadota; Gammaproteobacteria; Enterobacterales; Enterobacteriaceae
Description: partial 23S ribosomal RNA
Rfam family: Bacterial large subunit ribosomal RNA
Source: RNAcentral
AGCCGGAGGGAAACCGAGUCUUAAUUGGGCGUUAAGUUGCAGGGUAUAGACCCGAAACCCGGUGAUCUAGCCAUGGGCAGGUUGAAGGUUGGGUAACACUAACUGGAGGACCGAACCGACUAAUGUUGAAAAAUUAGCGGAUGACCUGUGGCUGGGGGUGAAAGGCCAAUCAAACCGGGAGAUAGCUGGUUCUCCCCGAAAGCUAUUUAGGUAGCGCCUCGUGAAUUCAUCUCCGGGGGUAGAGCACUGUUUCGGCUAGGGGGCCAUCCCGGCUUACCAACCCGAUGCAAACUGCGAAUACCGGAGAAUGUUAUCACGGGAGACACACGGCGGGUGCUAACGUCCGUCGUGAAGAGGGAAACAACCCAGACCGCCAGCUAAGGUCCCAAAGUCAUGGUUAAGUGGGAAACGAUGUGGGAAGGCCCAGACAGCCAGGAUGUUGGCUUAGAAGCAGCCAUCAUUUAAAGAAAGCGUAAUAGCUCACUGGUCGAGUCGGCCUGCGCGGAAGAUGUAACGGGGCUAAACCAUGCACCGAAGCUGCGGCAGCGACACUCAGGUGUUGUUGGGUAGGGGAGCGUUCUGUAAGCCUGCGAAGGUGGCCUGUGAGGGUUGCUGGAGGUAUCAGAAGUGCGAAUGCUGACAUAAGUAACGAUAAAGCGGGUGAAAAGCCCGCUCGCCGGAAGACCAAGGGUUCCUGUCCAACGUUAAUCGGGGCAGGGUGAGUCGACCCCUAAGGCGAGGCCGAAAGGCGUAGUCGAUGGGAAACAGGUUAAUAUUCCUGUACUUGGUGUUACUGCGAAGGGGGGACGGAGAAGGCUAUGUUGGCCGGGCGACGGUUGUCCCGGUUUAAGCGUGUAGGUGUGUGUUCCAGGUAAAUCCGGUUCACUUUAACACUGAGGCGUGACGACGAGGCACUACGGUGCUGAAGCAACAAAUGCCCUGCUUCCAGGAAAAGCCUCUAAGCAUCAGGUAACAUCAAAUCGUACCCCAAACCGACACAGGUGGUCAGGUAGAGAAUACCAAGGCGCUUGAGAGAACUCGGGUGAAGGAACUAGGCAAAAUGGUGCCGUAACUUCGGGAGAAGGCACGCUGACACGUAGGUGAAGUGAUUUACUCACGGAGCUGAAGUCAGUCGAAGAUACCAGCUGGCUGCAACUGUUUAUUAAAAACACAGCACUGUGCAAACACGAAAGUGGACGUAUACGGUGUGACGCCUGCCCGGUGCCGGAAGGUUAAUUGAUGGGGUCAGCGCAAGCGAAGCUCCUGAUCGAAGCCCCGGUAAACGGCGGCCGUAACUAUAACGGUCCUAAGGUAGCGAAAUUCCUUGUCGGGUAAGUUCCGACCUGCACGAAUGGCGUAAUGAUGGCCAGGCUGUCUCCACCCGAGACUCAGUGAAAUUGAACUCGCUGUGAAGAUGCAGUGUACCCGCGGCAAGACGGAAAGACCCCGUGAACCUUUACUAUAGCUUGACACUGAACAUUGAGCCUUGAUGUGUAGGAUAGGUGGGAGGCUUUGAAGCGUGGACGCCAGUCUGC